GACAAGUGGGGAGGAGGGCUGCCCAAAUUUAGUUUCAGGGACAAAGUUGGGUAAGGCACAGCUGUGUAAGUACAUGUGCGCCAACGAUCAUAUUUUCAGUGCAAGUAAUGGGGGAGAUGGAGUAUGUUAAGGAAACAAAGGAAGGGCACUCACCUGGAGAAAUUUACGUUGAAGUAAGAUUUGAGGGGGAAUCUGUCAGAGGUAGCUGCCCAGCAUAUGCAAGAAUGUCAGACAUACUACCUGUAUUUAUUUGCCUCUUGGAGAAAUGUCAAAUUGAGGGAAUGAAAAUCUGUACAGAUGUCUAAAGAAUUACAGAGAACAAAACUGGAACAAAGACAAAAUCAUAAAUUCUCAACACUGAAGAUUAGUGGCCGUGAAACAAAAUCUCAGGAACUGCCAGACUGUUUUCAAAGGUGGCUGCACCAUUUCACAUUCUCACUAGCAGUGUAUGAAGGUCCUGGUUCCUUCACAUCCUCAUCAACUCUUGUUAUUGUCUGUCUUUUUCAUUAUAACCAUGCGAGUGGAUAUAAAGUGAUAUUGAAACGGAGCAGGACCCUACAGUCCUUGCCCCCCGCCCCCCAUAUCCUCAGCCUGCCUUUUGUCUGUGGAAACACUUUAGCCAAAGAAUAAGUUUAA
This is a long non-coding RNA of Aethalodelphis obliquidens (Pacific white-sided dolphin), 636 nucleotides long. RefSeq lists it as uncharacterized. The transcript is spliced from 4 exons. NCBI's taxonomy places the organism in Eukaryota, Metazoa, Chordata, Mammalia, Artiodactyla, Delphinidae. The record is from RefSeq and is a predicted model, not a curated record.